This 317-nucleotide long non-coding RNA is filed under the name Setaria viridis. RNAcentral's name for it is "long non-coding RNA (SVIR_LNC002676)". The record is from RNAcentral. Lineage: Eukaryota; Viridiplantae; Streptophyta; Magnoliopsida; Poales; Poaceae.
CAAUAUCAACAUCGAUAAAAAGAGGCAGCGAUCGAAUAUCAACAGGAUAACAGGCAGAGAUCCAUGGUGAUGAUCGGAGCUAGCAGUACAAGCAAAGCUAGUAGGCGAAUGGAGGAGGAUCGGAGGAGCAACUGAACUUAGAUCUUGCCGCGCGGGCCCGGCACCGGCGGCUGCUGCGGCCCCUUCUUGAUCGGCAGGAGGUCCGGCGACGCCGACGCGCUGACGUAGGCCAGCAGGGAUCCGCCGCCCAGCAGCAGGAACUUGAGCAGCAGGCCCCUCUUGGUGAACGGCCCCGCGAACGUCUCGAAGAACUUGCU